UGGAACAGGGCGCCAUUGAGGGUGAGAGCCCCGUGCGGCACGCGUUUAAGCUUUAAGACCCUUCUGACGAGUCGAGUUGUUUGGGAAUGCAGCUCUAAGUGGGUGGUAAAUUCCAUCUAAGGCUAAAUACUGGCGAGAGACCGAUAGCGAACAAGUACUGUGAAGGAAAGAUGAAAAGCACUUUGAAAAGAGAGUGAAACAGCACGUGAAAUUGUUGAAAGGGAAGGGUAUUGGGCUCGACAUGGGGACUGCGCACCGUUGCUUCUUGUAGGCGGCGCUCUGUGCGGUUUCUGGGCCAGCAUCAGUUUUUGCCGCGGGAGAAUGGGGGGAGGAACGUGGCUCUUCGGAGUGUUAUAGCCUCUCUCAGAUGCCGCGAGCGGGGACUGAGGUCUGCGAUUCGUUCAAGGAUGCUGGCACAACGGCGCAAUACCGCC
This 434-nucleotide ribosomal RNA is filed under the name Pichia terricola. Its description in RNAcentral is "partial large subunit ribosomal RNA". It matches the Rfam family "Eukaryotic large subunit ribosomal RNA", at positions 191 to 649 of the family's 3401-position model. Lineage: Eukaryota; Fungi; Ascomycota; Pichiomycetes; Pichiales; Pichiaceae. The record is from RNAcentral.